This 159-nucleotide ribosomal RNA is filed under the name Botryosphaeria dothidea. Its description in RNAcentral is "5.8S ribosomal RNA". It matches the Rfam family "5.8S ribosomal RNA". Rfam says of the family: 5.8S ribosomal RNA (5.8S rRNA) is a component of the large subunit of the eukaryotic ribosome. It is transcribed by RNA polymerase I as part of the 45S precursor that also contains 18S and 28S rRNA. Functionally, it is thought that 5.8S rRNA may be involved in ribosome translocation. Lineage: Eukaryota; Fungi; Ascomycota; Dothideomycetes; Botryosphaeriales; Botryosphaeriaceae. The record is from RNAcentral.
AAACUUUCAACAACGGAUCUCUUGGUUCUGGCAUCGAUGAAGAACGCAGCGAAAUGCGAUAAGUAAUGUGAAUUGCACAAUUCAGUGAAUCAUCGAAUCUUUGAACGCACAUUGCGCCCUUUGGUAUUCCGAAGGGCAUGCCUGUUCGAGCGUCAUUAC